UUUCAUUAAGAAAUUUGAAAUUAUUAAAAUUAUUUAAAUAUAGUCAAUAAUAAAAAUUGUGUUUUGCUUCGAAGCUAAUGGUGUGGGUAGAGACGAAAAGAAAUUAACGAUGAAAAGCUUUUUUCCACAGUUGAAUAUAUAUAUAUUUUUUAAAUAUAUGUUUUUCAAUUUAUUGUUUUGUUUUAAUGUUUUAAAACUAUACAACAAAAAAUGGGAAAUAAGCUAAAAAUCUAUAUUAAAAAAUUAUUUUCAAUAUUCAUUAUUGAAUUCCCAGAAAUCCUGUCAUCAAAAUUUAUUUUGUACUUAAUAUGCCCACUAUGCUAUAGUUAUAAAAAAUAUAAAAAAAUUGAAUUUCGUUCUAAUAUUAACUGAGUAUUUUGAAAUUAUGAAUUUUUCGUUGUUUUGUAGAUUUUGCUCUAAUUAUAGCAGAGAUUAACGGAAAAUAAAAAACAUUUUUGACAAAAUUGAUACGCUAGUUGGUAAUAAAAAGUGCUUUUAUUGAAAAUACACCGAAAAAAUAAUUUUGAAUAUUAUUACAAAAUAUAAAAAAUAAUAGUACAAAAAAUAUAACACAAACUAUAAAUGCAGCCCAUAGCCAAAAUGAUGCAUUCCCAAAAAUCAUGGUAAUAGAAACUUUUUUUAUAUAUAUUUUUUAUAAAUGGUGUACGAACACCCUUUAUGGUUGUUUGGCCGAGCUCGUCCUCCUAUUUGUGGCGUGCGUCUUGAUGUUGUUCCACAAAUAGAGGGACCUACAGUUUUACGCCGACUCCGAGCGGCAGAUAUUUUUUAUGAAGAGCUUUUGCAUGGCAGAAAUGCUCUCGGAGGUUUGCCAUUGACUGCCGAAAGGCGAUCGGUAUUAGAAAAAAACUUUUUCUUUAUUUUUGUCUUUCACCGAGA
This is a long non-coding RNA of Anastrepha ludens (Mexican fruit fly), 897 nucleotides long. RefSeq lists it as uncharacterized. The record is from RefSeq and is a predicted model, not a curated record. The transcript is spliced from 2 exons. Lineage: Eukaryota; Metazoa; Arthropoda; Insecta; Diptera; Tephritidae.